Molecule: ribosomal RNA, 429 nt
Filed under: Chloroflexota bacterium
Lineage: Bacteria; Bacillati; Chloroflexota
Description: Chloroflexi bacterium partial 16S ribosomal RNA
Rfam family: Bacterial small subunit ribosomal RNA
Source: RNAcentral
UGGGGAAUAUUGCACAAUGGGCGCAAGCCUGAUGCAGCCAUGCCGCGUGUAUGAAGAAGGCCUUCGGGUUGUAAAGUACUUUCAGUCGGGAGGAAGGUGGUAAGGUUAAUAACCUUAUCAAUUGACGUUACCGACAGAAGAAGCACCGGCUAACUCCGUGCCAGAAGCCGCGGUAAUACGGAGGGUGCAAGCGUUAAUCGGAAUUACUGGGCGUAAAGCGCACGCAGGCGGUUGAUUGAGUCAGAUGUGAAAUCCCCGGGCUUAACCCGGGAAUUGCAUCUGAUACUGGUCAGCAAGAGUCUUGUAGAGGGGGGUAGAAUUCCAUGUGUAGCGGUGAAAUGCGUAGAGAUGUGGAGGAAUACCGGUGGCGAAGGCGGCCCCCUGGACAAAGACUGACGCUCAGGUGCGAAAGCGUGGGGAGCAAACAGG